Molecule: ribosomal RNA, 372 nt
Filed under: uncultured haloarchaeon
Lineage: Archaea; Methanobacteriati; Methanobacteriota; Halobacteria; Halobacteriales; Halobacteriaceae
Description: bacterial SSU rRNA
Rfam family: Archaeal small subunit ribosomal RNA
Source: RNAcentral
AUUCCGGUUGAUCCUGCCGGAGGCUAUUGCUAUUGGAAUCCGAUUUAGCCAUGCUAGUCGCACGGGUUAGACCCGUGGCGAACAGCUCAGUAACACGUGGCCAAACUACCCUGUGAACGGGGAUAAUCUCGGGAAACUGAGGCUAAUCCUCGAUAGGGCUUCCAUCCUGGAGUGGAGGAAGUCCAAAAGUCGCUCUGCGGCAUCACAGGAUGUGGCUGCGGCCGAUUAGGUAGACGGUGGGGUAACGGCCCACCGUGCCAGUAAUCGGUACGGGUGAUGAGAGUCAGAGCCCGGAGACGGUAUCUGAGACAAGAUACCGGGCCCUACGGGGCGCAGCAGGCGCGAAACCUUUACACUGCACGACAGUGCGAU